Molecule: non-coding RNA, 2427 nt
Organism: Marmota flaviventris (yellow-bellied marmot)
Lineage: Eukaryota; Metazoa; Chordata; Mammalia; Rodentia; Sciuridae
Source: RefSeq, a predicted model, not a curated record
ACAUAAUCUGUCAUCAGGCACGUAAGUGUUUCAUAGCCGGCUCCUCAGUUUAGAAGUCUCAUGUCUUGCUCACUAUGGUGUCUACAGGGUUUAGAAGGAAUAUUGGACGAAUUUUCCUCAAACUGAGAAUUUCUCUUUUUAUCCCUCCUACUUGAUAGCAGUUGCAUGCAAUGUCAGUGAGAGAGGAAGAACACUGACCCCACACUCUAGCCAGGGGUUUUCCAGUCCUGCUCGGGCAACGCACUGUGUGAGCAUGUGGCUUCUUUUUGAGGUGCUGUGAUGUAGGCAGGGCCAGGCCUGGUGAGCCUCGAGGACGGCUGAGUGACUCUGGUCUCAAGCAGGCCCAGCUCCUUCCCUUUGGUUUGAUUCUAUUUUUCUCAGUAAAAUAGUGAUGUAAUCGAGGGGACGUGGAAUUGUGAGUGGAGAACGUGAGAGAGGGGCACUCGUGGGCCUGGCUGGCUGUGGGGAAGUUCCCAGGGGACCGGUUAGGAUGAAAGGCCCUCACCAUGUUUGGCUGGGGGCCGCGUGGAGGAGGCGGAGGGCAGCUCUUCCUUAGGCGCAAGACUGUGGAAGGAGGUGGGCAUCCUUUUCUGCAGAGCUCACGUGGACUGAGGGAGGCUGCUUCGGAGGUGGGGGACACAGAACACCCUGAAUUUUCUCAGUGGAGCCCAAGUGAAGCCCAGUGAACUUGCUUUCAAGGCUGCUCUCGACUGUGACGUGAGGAUCUCACCCAGCGGUGGCCUGAGGGAGUGUGCUGAACCUAGAGGCUUUUUGCCCGGAGGCUGUUUGUCUGAGCCCUGAUUCCCCACUGGUGCCUACUGUGGGAACAGGCAGUCCCCACACACACGCUUCCCCUUGAAGGCAAGCUCCUGUGACAUGUUUAGGCCUUGGCAUGAACAGCCACCAUGUGCCCAACAGGUGGGGACUCCUGGGAGAGUAGGUCCUCAAGAGACUUAGUCUGGUGUGAGAGCCCCACUGAGCCAGGAACCCAGUAAUAAGUGACACUUCAUAAACCAGAAGUCACUUCCCAUUGAGACCUAGGAUUGGCCAGUUCUCCUUUGGUCUUUCCCCUGUCAGGCAGAAGGGCAGAAUAAGGGACCAAGGAGCUUGUAAGUCAUGUUUCUAUCUGCGCUGAGGGCUGAUCCUGACAGGUGUGUCCUCAGUGCUUUUAUGGGCUGUACGUGUGACUCAGGAAGCCCAGGGACUCCCCCAGCUGCCCGCCAGGCAGGGCCCUCUGAUGGGAAGUGGUACCUGAUACUCAGUUUCCUUUCACACCAGUUUCUCUUGCAUCCCGCAGCUUCGGUGAGUCAGAAAAGCCCUCCUAGAAACUUCUGGUGCUUGGGCUUCUGCUGCUCAGGCUGGAGUGCCUGGGGACUGGUGUCCGUGAGCUGAAGGGUCCCCCGGACUGUGCUGCCUCAGCCCCUCCUCAGGACUCCAUGUUGAGCCUUGGCUCACGUGAGACAGCUCUUGCCUCUGCCACCAUCGAGAGACACCUUCUCUCUGGGCCACUGAUAGAGGAUCUCUGGGUUCCAGAACAGGGGCAAAAGCAGUUUAGGGACAGGCUUGAAGGUUGGGGUGUGGAGAGGGGAGAGCAGAGAGGAAUGGACUCAAAGGACACUGAAGUGAAAGGAAGAAACAUGAUCAGUGGGUCUCAGAGGGAGGUGGCUUUUGCUCCAUACCACAGUUUCCAAAGUCUGGAGACACUUUGGUUGUCAGAACUGGGGCUGCUGCUGGUGACUAGUGGGUCAAGGACAUCCUACAAUGCACAGGAUGUCUCCCUCUGCAAGGAUUGGGCCACCCCUCAUGCUGAUGGUGUCACGGCUGGAUACCAGAUUCAGCUGAGGAACUUCCAGCUGAGCUGUGUUGGGAAAAUCCUUAUGUGAGUUGGAAUUUUAGAAGAAAAGCUCCAUUUUUAAAUUUCUUUAGUUGAAACCAGUGGUUCAAUGAAGCUCAGAGGCGAGGACUCACUGGGUGACCUUGCCAGGUAGGCAUUUGUGGGAAGAGCAGGAAGUCUUGGGCUGAGCUGGGGCUUAUCGGUAGACACUGGCCCAGCAUUCACGCGGCACUGGGCUCCCGAAAAACAAAAACAAAAACAAAAAACUCCUGAGUAAUCCUCAGGGACAGCGACAACUCCCUCCUGUACAUCAGUUAAUGAUUGGUUAACGGGGCAGCUCUCUCCCUUGGGAUGAACAUUCAGGAGAAGACAGCAGACCCCUCCUGGGUCCCCCAAACUACUUCCCAGAUUUAGAGGAAUCCACUGGCAAAAUGAAACUGAAAGCUUGCUUUCCUGCUGAGUCUCCUGCUGACCACAGGGUGUGAAUCUGCCCUUGACUCUAGACUGUCAGCUGCUUUCACUGCAUGAUUCUUUGGGGGUCAGCUUUGUCAACGUAUAAUUGAUGUACAAUAAACUUCACCAUUUUAAGUGCA